Molecule: ribosomal RNA, 407 nt
Filed under: Pardalisca sp. BOLD:ADF7323
Lineage: Eukaryota; Metazoa; Arthropoda; Malacostraca; Amphipoda; Pardaliscidae
Description: partial 16S ribosomal RNA
Rfam family: Bacterial large subunit ribosomal RNA
Source: RNAcentral
UAGCAAAAUCAUUUGUUUAUUAAUUGUAAACUGGUAUGAACGGUUUUACAGCUGCUCUCUUUAUAGCUUGUACAAGACGAAUUUGAAUUCUCAGUCAAAAUGCUGAGGUACGUUAGAGGGACGAUAAGACCCUAAAAGCUUGUCUAUGGCUGUUAAAAGGGCUAGAAUACUGGUGCGUGGUAGUUAGCUGGGGAAGUUGGUGUAUGAAAAUUAUGUGUGUUUGGAGCGGCUAGUGACCUGUGAUAUCACAGGAGUAAGAAAAAGUUACUUUAGGGAUAACAGCAUAAUAAGUUUAAAGAGUUCGUAUUGAUAGGCUUGUUUAUGACCUCGAUGUUGAAUUAAACUAAUUACACGAGGAAGAGUGUGUGUAACAGGGUUUGUUCAACCUUUGGAAGUUUACGUGAUUU